CUACGGGAGGCAGCAGUGGGGAAUUUUCCGCAAUGGGCGAAAGCCUGACGGAGCAAUACCGCGUGAGGGAAGACGGCCUAUGGGUUGUAAACCUCUUUUUUCAGGGAGGAAUUUUGACGUGUACCUGAAGAAUAAGCAUCGGCUAACUCCGUGCCAGCAGCCGCGGUAAGACGGAGGAUGCAAGUGUUAUCCGGAAUCACUGGGCGUAAAGCGUCUGUAGGUGGUUAAGCAAGUCAACUGUUAAAUCUUGAGGCUCAACUUCAAAAUCGCAGUCGAAACUGUUUGACUAGAGUAUAGUAGGGGUAAAGGGAAUUUCCGGUGUAGCGGUGAAAUGCGUAGAUAUCGGGAAGAACACCAGUGGCGAAGGCGCUCUGCUGGGCCAUAACUGACGCUCAUGGACGAAAGCCAGGGGAGCGAAAGGGAUUAGAUACCCCUGUAGUCCUGGCCGUAAACGAUGAACACUAGGUGUCGGGGGAAUCGACCCCCUCGGUGUCGUAGCCAACGCGUUAAGUGUUCCGCCUGGGGAGUACGCACGCAAGUGUGAAACUCAAAG
Molecule: ribosomal RNA, 553 nt
Filed under: uncultured bacterium
Lineage: Bacteria
Description: bacterial SSU rRNA
Rfam family: Bacterial small subunit ribosomal RNA
Source: RNAcentral